This 143-nucleotide microRNA precursor is filed under the name Marmota monax (woodchuck). Lineage: Eukaryota; Metazoa; Chordata; Mammalia; Rodentia; Sciuridae. The record is from RNAcentral.
AUAUUCCCCAUUUUGUCCCAAAAUGCCCUUAUGGUUUUAUAUAUAUAAAUAAAAAUAUAUUUUUAAAAAAAUAUAUAUAUAUAUAUAUAUAUUAUAUACAUAUGUAAAACCAUAAGGGCAUUUUGGGACAAAAUGGGGAAUAU